AUUUGGAAAGUCAAAAGUUUAACUGGGCGCCAGGAAGCUGAUGGGCAAACCCUACUUCUGCCCCGUCAUCCUGGCAGCGUGGGAGCUGUCACUCGGUUUGACCACCUCCCUCUCGCUCCAAGUUCGAUUGGAAACAUUAACACCUGAAGCCACGUUAAUUUCUGAUUCUCCUGCCUCUGCCUCCUGUGUGUACCACCUCGCGUGGGUUAUGUGGUACACGGGACCCAGAUCCAGGGUUCUCUGCAUGCCAGGCAAGAACUCUGCGGACUGAGCUGCAUCACUACCCAAGUGAAAAUAUUUUAAUUUAAAAAUGACUUACUGUCUGUAACUGCUUCUCUGCUACAGUAGUGGACUUGCCCAGUGGAGAUCCUGGGGCAGCAAAGCCUACAAUAAAUAAAUGCUACAGAUGAUGUUACUGA
This is a long non-coding RNA of Arvicola amphibius (Eurasian water vole), 419 nucleotides long. RefSeq lists it as uncharacterized. The record is from RefSeq and is a predicted model, not a curated record. Lineage: Eukaryota; Metazoa; Chordata; Mammalia; Rodentia; Cricetidae. The transcript is spliced from 2 exons.